This 253-nucleotide ribosomal RNA is filed under the name uncultured bacterium. RNAcentral describes it as "partial 16S ribosomal RNA". It matches the Rfam family "Bacterial small subunit ribosomal RNA", at positions 524 to 776 of the family's 1533-position model. The record is from RNAcentral.
UACGUAGGGUGCAAGCGUUGUCCGGAAUUAUUGGGCGUAAAGAGCUCGUAGGCGGUCUGUCGCGUCGGCUGUGAAAACCCGGAGCUCAACUCCGGGCCUGCAGUCGAUACGGGCAGACUGGAGUUCGGCAGGGGAGACUGGAAUUCCUGGUGUAGCGGUGAAAUGCGCAGAUAUCAGGAGGAACACCGGUGGCGAAGGCGGGUCUCUGGGCCGAUACUGACGCUGAGGAGCGAAAGCGUGGGGGGCGAACAGG